Molecule: ribosomal RNA, 325 nt
Filed under: uncultured eukaryote
Lineage: Eukaryota
Description: bacterial SSU rRNA
Rfam family: Eukaryotic small subunit ribosomal RNA
Source: RNAcentral
CCAUCAGCAUAUAUUGAACAUUGUCGCGUCAAAAGAAACUUGAUAGUUAGGAUUCGAUGGUCAGUUUACUUUGAGGAAUUAGGAAUGCUUCAAGCAGCCAUACUCCUUGAAUGCAUUUGCAUGGAAUAAUCAGAUAAGACCUCGCCUCUAUGCUAUUGGUUUCUAGGGCUGAGGUAAUGAUUGAUAUGGAUAGUUGGGGGCAUUUGUAUUCAAUUGUCAUAAGUGAAUUUCCCGGAUUUGUGGAAAACGGAUUACUGCGAAAGUAUUUGCCAAGGAUGUGUUGAUCAAUAACGAAAGUUAGGGGAUCGAAGACGAUCAGAUACCA